Molecule: ribosomal RNA, 497 nt
Filed under: uncultured bacterium
Lineage: Bacteria
Description: partial 16S ribosomal RNA
Rfam family: Bacterial small subunit ribosomal RNA
Source: RNAcentral
GAUGAACGCUGGCGGCGUGCCUAAUACAUGCAAGUCGAGCGAACAGACGAGGAGCUUGCUCCUCUGACGUUAGCGGCGGACGGGUGAGUAACACGUGGAUAACCUACCUAUAAGACUGGGAUAACUUCGGGAAACCGGAGCUAAUACCGGAUAAUAUAUUGAACCGCAUGGUUCAAUAGUGAAAGACGGUUUUGCUGUCACUUAUAGAUGGAUCCGCGCCGCAUUAGCUAGUUGGUAAGGUAACGGCUUACCAAGGCGACGAUGCGUAGCCGACCUGAGAGGGGGAUCGGCCACACUGGAACUGAGACACGGUCCAGACUCCUACGGGAGGCAGCAGUAGGGAAUCUUCCGCAAUGGGCGAAAGCCUGACGGAGCAACGCCGCGUGAGUGAUGAAGGUCUGCGGAUCGUAAAACUCUGUUAUUAGGGAAGAACAAAUGUGUAAGUAACUAUGCACGUCUUGACGGUACCUAAUCAGAAAGCCACGGCUAACUACGUG